GGAGGGUGCAAGCGUUGUUCGGAAUCACUGGGCGUAAAGGGCGUGUAGGCGGUCCGCUAAGUCUGAUGUGAAAGCCCGGGGCUUACCCCCGGAAGGGCAUUGGAAACUGGCGGACUCGAGUCCCGGAGAGGAAGGUGGAAUUCCUGGUGUAGCGGUGAAAUGCGUAGAUAUUAGGAGGAAUACCGGUGGCGAAGGCGGCCUUCUGGACGGUGACUGACGCUGAGACGCGAAAGCGUGGGGAGCAAACAGGAUUAGAUACCCUGGUAGUCCACGCUGUAAACGAUGAGCACUAGGUGUCGUGGGUAUUGACCCCCGCGGUGCCGACGCUAACGCAUUAAGUGCUCCGCCUGGGGAAUACGGCCGCAAGGUUA
RNAcentral lists this ribosomal RNA (371 nucleotides) under uncultured bacterium. Its description in RNAcentral is "bacterial SSU rRNA". It matches the Rfam family "Bacterial small subunit ribosomal RNA", at positions 527 to 896 of the family's 1533-position model. The record is from RNAcentral.